Molecule: ribosomal RNA, 397 nt
Filed under: uncultured bacterium
Lineage: Bacteria
Description: partial 16S ribosomal RNA
Rfam family: Bacterial small subunit ribosomal RNA
Source: RNAcentral
AUACGUAGGGGGCAAGCGUUAUCCGGAUUUACUGGGUGUAAAGGGAGUGUAGGUGGCCGUGCAAGUCAGAUGUGAAAUCCCGGGGCUCAACCCCGUGACUGCAUUUGAAACUGCGUGGCUGGAGUGCAGGAGAGGUAAGCGGAAUUCCUAGUGGAGCGGUGAAAUGCGUAGAUAUUAGGAGGAACACCGGUGGCGAAGGCGGCUUACUGGACGGUAACGUACACUGAGGCUCGAAAGCGGGGGGAGCAAACAGGAUUGGGUCCCCUGGGAGGCCACGCCGGAAACGAUGAAUACUUGGUGUCGGGGGGCAUCCGCCCCUCGGUGCCGCAGCUAACGCAAUAAGUAUUCCACCUGGGGAGUACGUUCGCAAGAAUGAAACUCAAAUGAAUUGACGGGG